AGAGGUUUUAGCUUAAUAAAAGUAUCUGAGUUGCAUUCAGGGGAUGUGUAUUAGAGUUUCACAGGCCUU
This 69-nucleotide transfer RNA is filed under the name Gehyra barea. Its description in RNAcentral is "tRNA-Ala". It matches the Rfam family "tRNA". From Rfam's summary of the family: Transfer RNA (tRNA) molecules are approximately 80 nucleotides in length. Lineage: Eukaryota; Metazoa; Chordata; Lepidosauria; Squamata; Gekkonidae. The record is from RNAcentral.